AACGAACGCUGGCGGCAUGCCUAACACAUGCAAGUCGAACGAGACCUUCGGGUCUAGUGGCGCACGGGUGCGUAACGCGUGGGAACCUGCCCUUAGGUUCGGAAUAACUCCCCGAAAGGGGUGCUAAUACCGGAUAAUGUCUUCGGACCAAAGAUUUAUCGCCUUUGGAUGGGCCCGCGUUGGAUUAGCUAGUUGGUAGGGUAAAAGCCUACCAAGGCGACGAUCCAUAGCUGGUCUGAGAGGAUGAUCAGCCACACUGGGACUGAGACACGGCCCAGACUCCUACGGGAGGCAGCAGUGGGGAAUAUUGGACAAUGGGCGAAAGCCUGAUCCAGCAAUGCCGCGUGAGUGAUGAAUGCCUUAGGGUUGUAAAGCUCUUUUACCCGGGAUGAUAAUGACAGUACCGGGAGAAUAAGCUCCGGCUAACUCCGUG
RNAcentral lists this ribosomal RNA (433 nucleotides) under uncultured bacterium. Its description in RNAcentral is "partial 16S ribosomal RNA". It matches the Rfam family "Bacterial small subunit ribosomal RNA", at positions 29 to 507 of the family's 1533-position model. The record is from RNAcentral.